AUACGGAGGGUGCAAGCGUUAUUCGGAAUCACUGGGCGUAAAGGACGCGUAGGCGGGUUGGCAAGUCAGAUGUGAAAUCCUACAGCUUAACUGUAGAACUGCAUUUGAAACUGCUAACCUAGAGUAUGGGAGGGGGAGAUGGAAUUAGAGGUGUAGGGGUAAAAUCCGUAGAUAUCACUAGGAAUACCGAAAGCGAAGGCGAUCUCCUGGAACAUAACUGACGCUCAGGCGUGAAAGCGUGGGGAGCAAACAGGAUUAGAUACCCUAGUAGUCC
Molecule: ribosomal RNA, 274 nt
Filed under: uncultured bacterium
Lineage: Bacteria
Description: partial 16S ribosomal RNA
Rfam family: Bacterial small subunit ribosomal RNA
Source: RNAcentral